Molecule: ribosomal RNA, 253 nt
Filed under: uncultured bacterium
Lineage: Bacteria
Description: partial 16S ribosomal RNA
Rfam family: Bacterial small subunit ribosomal RNA
Source: RNAcentral
UACGUAGGGUGCGAGCGUUAAUCGGAAUUACUGGGCGUAAAGGGCGCGUAGGCUGCCUUCUAAGUCGAACGUGAAAUCCCCGGGCUCAACCCGGGAACUGCGUCCGAUACUGGAAGGCUUGAAUCCGGGAGAGGGAUGUGGAAUUCCAGGUGUAGCGGUGAAAUGCGUAGAUAUCAGGAAGAACACCCGUGGCGAAGGCGGCUCUCUGGGACGGUACUGACGCUGAGACGCGAAAGCGUGGGGAGCAAACAGG